AAAUUGAAGAGUUUGAUCAUGGCUCAGAUUGAACGCUGGCGGCAGGCCUAACACAUGCAAGUCGAACGGUAACAGGAAGCAGCUUGCUGCUUCGCUGACGAGUGGCGGACGGGUGAGUAAUGUCUGGGAAACUGCCUGAUGGAGGGGGAUAACUACUGGAAACGGUAGCUAAUACCGCAUAACGUCGCAAGACCAAAGAGGGGGACCUUCGGGCCUCUUGCCAUCGGAUGUGCCCAGAUGGGAUUAGCUAGUAGGUGGGGUAACGGCUCACCUAGGCGACGAUCCCUAGCUGGUCUGAGAGGAUGACCAGCCACACUGGAACUGAGACACGGUCCAGACUCCUACGGGAGGCAGCAGUGGGGAAUAUUGCACAAUGGGCGCAAGCCUGAUGCAGCCAUGCCGCGUGUAUGAAGAAGGCCUUCGGGUUGUAAAGUACUUUCAGCGGGGAGGAAGGGAGUAAAGUUAAUACCUUUGCUCAUUGACGUUACCCGCAGAAGAAGCACCGGCUAACUCCGUGCCAGCAGCCGCGGUAAUACGGAGGGUGCAAGCGUUAAUCGGAAUUACUGGGCGUAAAGCGCACGCAGGCGGUUUGUUAAGUCAGAUGUGAAAUCCCCGGGCUCAACCCGGGAACUGCAUCUGAUACUGGCAAGCUUGAGUCUCGUAGAGGGGGGUAGAAUUCCAGGUGUAGCGGUGAAAUGCGUAGAGAUCUGGAGGAAUACCGGUGGCGAAGGCGGCCCCCUGGACGAAGACUGACGCUCAGGUGCGAAAGCGUGGGGAGCAAACAGGAUUAGAUACCCUGGUAGUCCACGCCGUAAACGAUGUCGACUUGGAGGUUGUGCCCUUGAGGCGUGGCUUCCGGAGCUAACGCGUUAAGUCGACCGCCUGGGAGUACGGCCGCAAGGUUAAAACUCAAAUGAAUUGACGGGGGCCCGCACAAGCGGUGGAGCAUGUGGUUUAAUUCGAUGCAACGCGAAGAACCUUACCUGGUCUUGACAUCCACAGAACUUUCCAGAGAUGGAUUGGUGCCUUCGGGAACUGUGAGACAGGUGCUGCAUGGCUGUCGUCAGCUCGUGUUGUGAAAUGUUGGGUUAAGUCCCGCAACGAGCGCAACCCUUAUCCUUUGUUGCCAGCGGUCCGGCCGGGAACUCAAAGGAGACUGCCAGUGAUAAACUGGAGGAAGGUGGGGAUGACGUCAAGUCAUCAUGGCCCUUACGACCAGGGCUACACACGUGCUACAAUGGCGCAUACAAAGAGAAGCGACCUCGCGAGAGCAAGCGGACCUCAUAAAGUGCGUCGUAGUCCGGAUUGGAGUCUGCAACUCGACUCCAUGAAGUCGGAAUCGCUAGUAAUCGUGGAUCAGAAUGCCACGGUGAAUACGUUCCCGGGCCUUGUACACACCGCCCGUCACACCAUGGGAGUGGGUUGCAAAAGAAGUAGGUAGCUUAACCUUCGGGAGGGCGCUUACCACUUUGUGAUUCAUGACUGGGGUGAAGUCGUAACAAGGUAACCGUAGGGGAACCUGCGGUUGGAUCACCUCCUUA
RNAcentral lists this ribosomal RNA (1541 nucleotides) under Shigella sonnei. RNAcentral describes it as "bacterial SSU rRNA". It matches the Rfam family "Bacterial small subunit ribosomal RNA". Lineage: Bacteria; Pseudomonadati; Pseudomonadota; Gammaproteobacteria; Enterobacterales; Enterobacteriaceae. The record is from RNAcentral.